AUUGAACGCUGGCGGCAUGCUUUACACAUGCAAGUCGAACGGCAGCGCGGGCUUCGGCCUGGCGGCGAGUGGCGAACGGGUGAGUAAUACAUCGGAACGUGCCCAGUAGUGGGGGAUAGCUCGGCGAAAGCCGGAUUAAUACCGCAUACGACCUGAGGGUGAAAGCGGGGGAUCUUCGGACCUCGCGCUAUUGGAGCGGCCGAUGGCAGAUUAGGUAGUUGGUGGGGUAAAGGCCUACCAAGGCGACGAUCUGUAGCUGGUCUGAGAGGACGACCAGCCACACUGGGACUGAGACACGGCCCAGACUCCUACGGGAGGCAGCAGUGGGGAAUUUUGGACAAUGGGCGAAAGCCUGAUCCAGCAAUGCCGCGUGUAUGAUGAAGGCCUUCGGGUUGUAAAGCACUUUUGGCGGGAACGAAAAGGACUGUGCCAAUACCACGGUUCGAUGACGGUACCCGCAGAAUAAGCACCGGCUAACUACGUG
Molecule: ribosomal RNA, 484 nt
Filed under: uncultured bacterium
Lineage: Bacteria
Description: partial 16S ribosomal RNA
Rfam family: Bacterial small subunit ribosomal RNA
Source: RNAcentral